CUAGUGGUGGUUCAGUAGCAGAAUUCUUGCCUUCCAUGCAGGGGACCCAAGUUCCAUUCCUGGCCAGUGCA
Molecule: transfer RNA, 71 nt
Filed under: Loxodonta africana (African savanna elephant)
Lineage: Eukaryota; Metazoa; Chordata; Mammalia; Proboscidea; Elephantidae
Rfam family: tRNA
About the family: Transfer RNA (tRNA) molecules are approximately 80 nucleotides in length. Their secondary structure includes four short double-helical elements and three loops (D, anti-codon, and T loops). Further hydrogen bonds mediate the characteristic L-shaped molecular structure. tRNAs have two regions of fundamental functional importance: the anti-codon, which is responsible for specific mRNA codon recognition, and the 3' end, to which the tRNAs corresponding amino acid is attached (by aminoacyl-tRNA synthetases). tRNAs cope with the degeneracy of the genetic code in two manners: having more than one tRNA (with a specific anti-codon) for a particular amino acid; and 'wobble' base-pairing, i.e. permitting non-standard base-pairing at the 3rd anti-codon position.
Source: Rfam by way of RNAcentral